GGACACACUGAAGAGUAGAUGGAACAGGAGACAAAAGAGGGUCUGGCUACCCAAAAGCUACUUCUCCUCUGUUCCUGUGGUUGCUGGAAUUAUGUUUUAGAGAAGAUUCAGCAUCCUAGAUGAGUAACUGGCCACCACAUGAGCUAGCCUGCAACUGUAAGCCAAAGCAGCAUUUUAAAUAUGAGAACUGGCAGUUUCUAAGUACGGCAAAGGCAAAGAUGUCUGCUGAGAUGGGAAAGAACCUUUCUCUGCGCCUUAGGUUGGCUGGGGACUUCAGCAAGCCUCCUGCAUGGGACUCCUCAUGUCAUUCUCCAGCGCUGAAUCCAGGGCUAUCUACCACUCCCUUCAACUGACCUGCUCAUUUGGCAGUACGGAAGACCAGGGCUGGUGGUUGCUUCUGUAUAAGUUCCCUUUCUGCCCCAGGAAGGCAGGAGUGUGCCAAUUCUACUAGCAUAUGACUUGUCAGUUCGAAAGCACUUAUUUCCCCAACAAUAUAUAUGUAGCUUUCUGCGGGCUAGCCAGCUACCUGCAGGGUUGCAGUGAUGCUGCCCUGCCUUGGGUUAUGCUUCUGCUCUCACUGAAAUGAGCAGUGUCUUCAGCAGUUCAGGACUGGACCACAAACUACAGCAUUUCUGGGAUCCUUCAAGAUGAAAGGCACUCCACAUGGUCCUUCCUCCUAGCUUUUGGGGCACUUCAGCUACUUCUAAAUUGUUGGCAUUGGCAGCACAUCUUACCUCUGAGUACACAUCUUUGCGAGCAUCCUGACAGCCAGUGGGGGUGAAACCUGGAUGUGCUCCAACCUGUCUUGCUACCCCAGGAGACUGCUUAGAUGCCAGACAAACUUAUGAAGAACCCACAUGGUGCCGGAGCAGGAUGAUGCUUGUUACUAAAAAAUUAAUUAUUCUCUCUCAUGACAUGC
Molecule: long non-coding RNA, 919 nt
Organism: Aquila chrysaetos chrysaetos
Lineage: Eukaryota; Metazoa; Chordata; Aves; Accipitriformes; Accipitridae
Exons: 5
Source: RefSeq, a predicted model, not a curated record